GCACUUUCAAAGCUAUUCAUUGCAUCCAAUAUUCUACUACUGAGUAAUAGGAACAAAAGCAUAGUUCAACAAUCAAGUUCCUAUGCGAUCGUCAUUCAAUGUGGUUGUUGAAUGCCGUAUCAUAUGGUAUAGUUGGCUUUUUUCAGUCUUCUGCAUGACUUGUAGAGUAAUAUCUCACAAUGAUUUAACUGCUACAUUGAGCUCAAUGCGCAAGGCCGUCUAUUACGAAGAUGCUCCUCGAGGUCCAGGCUUUCCGUAGCCUAGACUGAUAAGUUUUUGCACCAACUUUUUCUCAGCAGCUGCCUCAAGCAUGGGGCUGUUCUUGGGGAUAUUAGAAGCAAGUACGACAUUGAUUCCAGUCUUAAGAACUAUUCUACGGGCAAUACCAGCUCCUGUAUUAUCAGAUGAUCCCCCUGUCAACGAACUCACGCUAACAGUAUUGCCAGGUCUUGUUGGAGCAGCUGCAUACAAAUCCCCAAGUUUGGUGGAGUUGCAACCAAUCCAUGCAUAUAUCUGAUUCUGAAGACGAAUGAUCUGAAAGUAGAGAGUAGCAUCGUUAACGACUUCAGAGAAGCACGUGACUUGCACGCGACUUCCAUCAUCGCCUUCUUCUGCAACUUUCAACUGAUUCAUUGUGUCAGUAACAACGUCAACUCUUCCAUCAGAGGAGGAGGACGGUGGUGAUUCCUCCAUUUUUUCAGUUGAAAUUGAAGAAACGAAUUAGGGAAAUUCAAAAUUUCUAGGGUUUAGCAGAGGAUUUUGGAGGGAUUUGAAAGAGUUACGGGUACCGGAUGGAAAAAA
Molecule: unclassified non-coding RNA, 801 nt
Filed under: Hevea brasiliensis (rubber tree)
Lineage: Eukaryota; Viridiplantae; Streptophyta; Magnoliopsida; Malpighiales; Euphorbiaceae
Source: RNAcentral